GUCCCCGUAGCUCAGCUGGAUAGAGCAAUUGCCUCCUAAGCAAUAGGUCGCAGGUUCGACUCCUGCCGGGGACGCAA
Molecule: transfer RNA, 77 nt
Filed under: Idiomarina zobellii
Lineage: Bacteria; Pseudomonadati; Pseudomonadota; Gammaproteobacteria; Alteromonadales; Idiomarinaceae
Also listed under: 5 other names
Description: tRNA_Arg_CCT
Rfam family: tRNA
About the family: Transfer RNA (tRNA) molecules are approximately 80 nucleotides in length. Their secondary structure includes four short double-helical elements and three loops (D, anti-codon, and T loops).
Source: RNAcentral